Molecule: non-coding RNA, 130 nt
Filed under: marine eukaryotic metagenome
Description: SAM riboswitch (S box leader)
Rfam family: SAM riboswitch aptamer (S box leader)
About the family: The SAM riboswitch is found upstream of a number of genes which code for proteins involved in methionine or cysteine biosynthesis in Gram-positive bacteria. The SAM riboswitch acts at the level of transcription termination control.
Source: RNAcentral
GCUUAUUAAGAAAGACUGAGGGAAUGGGCCCUGUGAUGUCUUGGCAACCGCCCAGCAGCAGUUCCUGAGUAUGUUUAUUGCUUGGAAAGGUGCCAAAUCCCACUCGAUCUUUUCGAUCGGGAUAAAUAAG